Molecule: ribosomal RNA, 510 nt
Filed under: uncultured bacterium
Lineage: Bacteria
Description: partial 16S ribosomal RNA
Rfam family: Bacterial small subunit ribosomal RNA
Source: RNAcentral
GACGAACGCUGGCGGCGUGCUUAACACAUGCAAGUCGAACGAAGAGCGGUGGAAGCUUGCUUCUCUCAAUCUUAGUGGCGGACGGGUGAGUAACGCGUAAUCAACCCGCCCUUCAGAGGGGGACAACAGUUGGAAACGACUGCUAAUACCGCAUACGAUCUAAUCUUCGCAUCGAGGAUAGAUGAAAGGUGGCCUCUACAUGUAAGCUAUCACUGCAGGAGGGGAUUGCGUCUGAUUAGCUAGUCGGAGGGGUAACGGCGAACCAAGGCGAUGAUCAGUCGCCGGUCUGAGAGGAUGAACGGCCGCAUUGGGACUGAGACGCGGCCCAGACUGCUGCGGGAGGCAGCAGUGGGGAAUCUUCCGGAAUGAACGGAAGUCUGAAGGAGCAACGCCGGGUGAGUGAGGACGGGCUUCGGGUUGUAAAGCUCGGUUAAUCGGGAAGAAAGACCUUCUUGCGAAUAGUGAGAAGGAUUGACGGUACCGGAAUAGAAAGCCACGGCUAACUACGUG